GACUCUAUAUCUCGGCUCUCGCAUCGAUGAAGAACGUAGCGAAAUGCGAUACUUGGUGUGAAUUGCAGCGUGAACCAUCGAGUCUUUGAACGCAAGUUGCCGUUAACGUCUGCCUGGGCGUCA
This 123-nucleotide ribosomal RNA is filed under the name Ipomoea nil (Japanese morning glory). Its description in RNAcentral is "5.8S ribosomal RNA". It matches the Rfam family "5.8S ribosomal RNA". From Rfam's summary of the family: 5.8S ribosomal RNA (5.8S rRNA) is a component of the large subunit of the eukaryotic ribosome. It is transcribed by RNA polymerase I as part of the 45S precursor that also contains 18S and 28S rRNA. The record is from Rfam by way of RNAcentral. Lineage: Eukaryota; Viridiplantae; Streptophyta; Magnoliopsida; Solanales; Convolvulaceae.